GUUUUGCAGAACUUCUUUGAUCUAGAGCAUUAUCCUCUGAUUUCAGAACUCACUCACCGUUUCUAGGGUUUCAGGGAAAGAUUGGUUGCAUAUCCCUCAGAAAGACAUGGUUAUGGUGCACCACGCGCGCCUUGUCGUGAUGGGGGUCGGAAUCUGGACUGGGUUGCUGCCGGUGGCGAUUUGGGUGGCUUCAUGGCGGCGCGGUUGAUGGUGAAAGGUUGGUCUGGUGGUGGCUCGCGGCUCUUUCCGACAGCGAGGAUGGGGAUAUCGAUUUAGGUCACGCACCCGUCGAGAAGAUGGUAGCGGCACCAGGAGGGUGAUGGAGCUGCGAUGGCGCGAUGAAGGAGAAGAUGGUGUCGCGAUUUGGGCGAAGGUGGUUUUGGCGGUUAGAGACGGUACGUGAUUGGGACGUGGUCGAAAGGGGAUGGACAUGAGGAUAGGUAUGGGUUUACAGGUUGAGCCAUUGGAAAAUGUUUUGAUAUGACGCUCAAUGUGAUGAAUUGAAACUUUUGUAUGAAAUGAAUUUUUGACUUGAUUAUCUUGUGGUUGGAAUUAUGUUUGGUUUGAUGAUGAAUGAAAUGGAAUUGUAGAAUGAAUGAUGGAAUAACAGGGCAUGAGGACGGGAAAAACAGGGUGACACUAAUGGAGGGGCUGU
Molecule: small RNA, 655 nt
Filed under: Vigna angularis var. angularis
Lineage: Eukaryota; Viridiplantae; Streptophyta; Magnoliopsida; Fabales; Fabaceae
Description: Non-protein coding transcript
Source: RNAcentral